Molecule: ribosomal RNA, 69 nt
Filed under: Janthinobacterium sp. FT14W
Lineage: Bacteria; Pseudomonadati; Pseudomonadota; Betaproteobacteria; Burkholderiales; Oxalobacteraceae
Description: partial 23S ribosomal RNA
Source: RNAcentral
GUUAUAGGGACAAGCGAAUAAGUGCACAUGGUGGAUGCCUUGGCGAUUACAGGCGAUGAAGGACGUAGU